AGGGGUACCAGAAAUAGCACUUUGGUAAAUAUAAAAGACAAUAUGUAUUUCCUCUGAAGUUCUUUAAAGAUAACUAAUUAAAGCAAAUAUUACAACAUUAUUGUGGCAUUUAUAAAGCAUGUAGAAGCCACCCUCCCCUGUAGG
This is a long non-coding RNA of Phyllostomus discolor (pale spear-nosed bat), 144 nucleotides long. RefSeq lists it as uncharacterized. The transcript is spliced from 3 exons. The record is from RefSeq and is a predicted model, not a curated record. Lineage: Eukaryota; Metazoa; Chordata; Mammalia; Chiroptera; Phyllostomidae.